Molecule: ribosomal RNA, 442 nt
Filed under: uncultured bacterium
Lineage: Bacteria
Description: partial 16S ribosomal RNA
Rfam family: Bacterial small subunit ribosomal RNA
Source: RNAcentral
CCUACGGGGGGCAGCAGUGGGGGAUAUUGCACAAUGGGGGAAACCCUGAUGCAGCGACGCCGCGUGGGCGAAGAAGUAUUUCGGUAUGUAAAGCCCUAUCAGCAGGGAAGAAGAAAUGACGGUACCUGAGUAAGAAGCACCGGCUAAAUACGUGCCAGCAGCCGCGGUAAUACGUAUGGUGCAAGCGUUAUCCGGAUUUACUGGGGGUAAAGGGAGCGUAGACGGCAGUGCAAGUCUGGAGUGAAAGGCGGGGGCUCAACCCCCGGACUGCUCUGGAAACUGUACGGCUGGAGUGCAGGAGAGGUAAGUGGAAUUCCUAGUGUAGCGGUGAAAUGCGUAGAUAUUAGGAGGAACACCAGUGGCGAAGGCGGCUUACUGGACUGUAACUGACGUUGAGGCUCGAAAGCGUGGGGAGCAAACAGGAUUAGAUACCCUUGUGGUC